This 208-nucleotide long non-coding RNA is filed under the name Prunus persica (peach). RNAcentral's name for it is "long non-coding RNA (PPER_LNC002072)". Lineage: Eukaryota; Viridiplantae; Streptophyta; Magnoliopsida; Rosales; Rosaceae. The record is from RNAcentral.
GCGAUAAAGGCUGAUAGCCCAUCUAGCCAAUAGCUACAACUAACAGGCCAAAUAGCUAAGCCUUGUAUCGAUCUAAUUGUUGAAUAAAUAAAAUCACUCUAUUGUUCUUCUAAAAACCCAACAAUCGUAUCAGAGAGCUACUCACACACUUUCUAAAACCAACAGUGGUAUCAGAGCAAAGUUCGGUCACCUUGGGCAUAAGGGUUCG